UUGGGUUGCUCAGUGAGCACAGAAUUGGAACAAAGCAAACUGGAAGAUCCUAGUUGGUCAUGCUUUCAAGCUGCUCUAAAUUAAGAUGUGAUGAUAAAAGCCUCUGAGUUAAGUCAGUGUCUGCUUCAUGCUAAGGCCCAUGCUAAAACCUGUGUCUGUCCUCCACCUCCAAAUAAAGUCUCUUAAGAUAUAGGUGCUCGUUUUUAAAAAGACAUCACAUAAAGAAAAGAAAAAGAUCAGUGAUUUUACUAGCAUGAGUG
Molecule: long non-coding RNA, 260 nt
Filed under: Bos taurus (domestic cattle)
Lineage: Eukaryota; Metazoa; Chordata; Mammalia; Artiodactyla; Bovidae
Description: long non-coding RNA NONBTAT024783
Source: RNAcentral